Molecule: ribosomal RNA, 1080 nt
Filed under: Geastrum cf. triplex A KH-2011
Lineage: Eukaryota; Fungi; Basidiomycota; Agaricomycetes; Geastrales; Geastraceae
Description: SSU rRNA
Rfam family: Eukaryotic small subunit ribosomal RNA
Source: RNAcentral
AUAAACAAAUUUGUACUGUGAAACUGCGAAUGGCUCAUUAAAUCAGUUAUAGUUUAUUUGAUGAUACCUUGCUACAUGGAUAACUGUGGUAAUUCUAGAGCUAAUACAUGCGUCAAAGCCGCGACUUCUGGAAGCGGUGUAUUUAUUAGAUAAAAAACCAACGCGGUUCGCCGCUCCCUUGGUGAUUCAUAAUAACUUCUCGAAUCGCAUGGCCUUGCGCCGGCGAUGCUUCAUUCAAAUAUCUGCCCUAUCAAGUUUAGAUGGUAGGAUAGAGGCCUACCAUGCUUUCAACGGGUAACGGGGAAUAAGGGUUCGAUUCCGGAGAGGGAGCCUGAGAAACGGCUACCACAUCCAAGGAAGGCAGCAGGCGCGCAAAUUACCCAAUCCCGACACGGGGAGGUAGUGACAAUAAAUAACAAUAUGGGGCUCAUACGGGUCCCAUAAUUGGAAUGAGUACAAUUUAAAUCCCUUAACGAGGAACAAUUGGAGGGCAAGUCUGGUGCCAGCAGCCGCGGUAAUUCCAGCUCCAAUAGCGUAUAUAAAAGUUGUUGCCGUUAAAAAGCUCGUAGUUGAACUUUCAUGGGCUCACGCGGUCUGCCUCACGGCAAGUACUGUGUGGGCUCGUGCUCCUGGGUGGUGAGCCGCCAUGUCGUUUACUCGGUGUGGCGGGGAACCACCUCUGUUACCUUGAGAAAAUUAGAGUGUUCAAAGCAGGCCUAUGCCCGAAUAUAUUAGCAUGGAAUAACGAAAUAGGACGUGCGGUUCUAUUUUGUUGGUUUCUAGAGUCGCCGUAAUGAUUAAUAGGGAUAGUUGGGGGCAUUAGUAUUCAGUUGCUAGAGGUGAAAUUCUUGGAUUUACUGAAGACUAACUACUGCGAAAGCAUUUGCCAAGGAUGUUUUCAUUAAUCAAGAACGAAGGUUAGGGGAUCGAAAACGAUCAGAUACCGUUGUAGUCUUAACAGUAAACUAUGCCGACUAGGGAUCGGACGAACUCAUUUUUAUGUGUCGUUCGGCACCUUACGAGAAAUCAAAGUUUUUGGGUUCGGGGGGGAGUAUGGUCGCAAGGCUGAAACUUAAAGGA